UACGUAGGGUGCAAGCGUUGUCCGGAAUUAUUGGGCGUAAAGAGCUCGUAGGCGGCUUGUCACGUCUGCUGUGAAAACUCGGGGCUCAACCCCGAGCCUGCAGUGGAUACGGGCUAGCUAGAGUGCGGUAGGGGAGACUGGAAUUCCUGGUGUAGCGGUGAAAUGCGCAGAUAUCAGGAGGAACACCGAUGGCGAAGGCGGGUCUCUGGACCGAUACUGACGCUGAGGAGCGAAAGCGUGGGGAGCGAACAGG
Molecule: ribosomal RNA, 253 nt
Filed under: uncultured bacterium
Lineage: Bacteria
Description: partial 16S ribosomal RNA
Rfam family: Bacterial small subunit ribosomal RNA
Source: RNAcentral